GGUCCAGACUUUGAUCAUGGCUCAGGAUGAACGCUGGCGGCGCAUUUAAGACAUGCAAGUCGAACGAAAAUUUACGCUUAAAGAGUUGAUUAGUUUACUAAGAGAUGAUUUAUUGUAAAUUUUAGUGGCGGACUGGUGAGUAAUACAUAGGUAAUCUGCCUUUUAGAGGGGAAUAGCUAGGAGAAAUCCUAGCUAAUACCGCGUAAGACCACACUUAGGCAUCUAAGAGAGGUCAAAGGAGUAAUCCGCUAAAAGAUGAGCCUGUGGCUGAUUAGUUAGUUGGUGGGGUAAGAGCCUACCAAGACGAUGAUCAGUAGCCGAGCUGAGAGGCUGGCCGGCCACAUUGGGACUGAGAUACGGCCCAGACUCCUACGGGAGGCAGCAGUUGGGAAUAUUGGACAAUGGAGGAAACUCUGAUCCAGUGACGCCGCGUGAAGGAAGAAGGUCUUCGGAUUGUAAACUUAUUUUAUCAGGGAAGAAGAAAGUGACAGUACCUGAAGAAAAAGGACCGGCAAACUACGUGCCAGCAGCCGCGGUAAUACGUAGGGUCCAAGCGUUAUCCGGAUUUACUGGGUGUAAAGGGCGAGUAGACGGCGCUGUAAGUCAGCUGUGAAAACUUAGGGCUCAACCUUAAGCCUGCAGCUGAAACUGUAGUGCUAGAGUGCAGGAGAGGUAAGCGGAAUUCCUAGUGUAGCGGUGAAAUGCGUAGAUACUAGGAGGAACACCAGUGGCGAAGGCGGCUUACUGGACUGUAACUGACGUUGAGGCGCGAAAGUGUGGGGAGCAAACAGGAUUAGAUACCCUGGUAGUCCACACCGUAAACGAUGGAUACUAGGUGUAGGCGAGAUAUCGUCUGUGCCGGCGCAAACGCAAUAAGUAUCCCACCUGGGGAGUACGGCCGCAAGGUUGCAACUCAAAUGAAUUGACGG
Molecule: ribosomal RNA, 929 nt
Filed under: uncultured Bacillota bacterium
Lineage: Bacteria; Bacillati; Bacillota
Description: bacterial SSU rRNA
Rfam family: Bacterial small subunit ribosomal RNA
Source: RNAcentral